Molecule: ribosomal RNA, 255 nt
Filed under: uncultured bacterium
Lineage: Bacteria
Description: partial 16S ribosomal RNA
Rfam family: Bacterial small subunit ribosomal RNA
Source: RNAcentral
CACGUAGGGCGCGAGCGUUGUCCGGAAUUAUUGGGCGUAAAGAGCUCGUAGGCGGCCUGUUGCGUCCGCUGUGAAAGCCCGGGGCUUAACCCCCGGGUCUGCAGUGGAUACGGGGCAGGCUAGAGGUAGGUAGGGGAGAAUGGAAUUCCCGGUGUAGCGGUGAAAUGCGCAGAUAUCGGGAGGAACACCGGUGGCGAAGGCGGUUCUCUGGGCCUUACCUGACGCUGAGGAGCGAAAGCGUGGGGAGCGAACAGG